UGGAGAAAAUAAGCCUGGUUAUUUUUUGGCCUAUGUUGAAACAUCAUAAGUAGAAUGAAACAGCAUAAUUUUUUCCCCCUGGGGUUCAAGAGUUUAUUUCUUUUGAUACAACAAUAAAUCAACUGACGAAAUGGAAUUUCUUUGCAAUACAUAUGCAACAAGUUAGUUUGCAUGGACAAGUUGAGCUUCAGUUUAUAUAUAGACACUCUGGAACAUUUUAUUAUAAAGCAAUAGUGCUGGAAAGCCACUUAAAGGGGUAACUGCACCAGUAACUAUGAGAAGGAGAUAUAUGAUUAACCUAGUAGAACUUAAAAAGUGAUUUCUGCAGCUUUGAAAUCAUCUACACAUGAACUCAAGCAGCAAUACGUAUUGGUUUAGAUUCUGUGCUAUCAUUGGUACAUGGUACUACACAGUGAUGCUGUUUAAAUGAAGAAAUCUACUCUUCUAAAAAAUCUUUGCCACUGAUGCCACAUACAAAUACCGUAUGGACUAGCUCUCAGAGCCAAAGCAGGAAAAAUCGCCAAAGGGUACUAUUACUAUACCCAUUUGGCAGAGGAGGAAACUGAGGAAGAGAGAAGCUAAGACACUAUAGACAAACCUUUAGAAGAACAUUAGCCAGUAAGUGCAAGCUGGAUGACUGAGAAGAGUUGGGAACUGUGGCUAAAGGUACAGAGAGACACAAGCUGUUGUCAUGAGGUCAACU
Molecule: long non-coding RNA, 703 nt
Filed under: Homo sapiens (human)
Lineage: Eukaryota; Metazoa; Chordata; Mammalia; Primates; Hominidae
Description: HSALNT0306697
Source: RNAcentral